This 301-nucleotide ribosomal RNA is filed under the name uncultured bacterium. Its description in RNAcentral is "partial 16S ribosomal RNA". It matches the Rfam family "Bacterial small subunit ribosomal RNA", at positions 509 to 807 of the family's 1533-position model. The record is from RNAcentral.
CAGUAGCCACGGUAAUACGGAGGGUGCAAGCGUUAUCCGGAUUUAUUGGGUUUAAAGGGUCCGUAGGCGGACUUAUAAGUCAGUGGUGAAAGCCUGUCGCUUAACGAUAGAACUGCCAUUGAUACUGUAAGUCUUGAGUAUAUUUGAGGUAGCUGGAAUAAGUAGUGUAGCGGUGAAAUGCAUAGAUAUUACUUAGAACACCAAUUGCGAAGGCAGGUUACCAAGAUAUAACUGACGCUGAGGGACGAAAGCGUGGGUAGCGAACAGGAUUAGAUACCCCAGUAGUCCCUGUCUCUUAUAC